Molecule: non-coding RNA, 1039 nt
Filed under: Pan troglodytes (chimpanzee)
Lineage: Eukaryota; Metazoa; Chordata; Mammalia; Primates; Hominidae
Source: RNAcentral
GGUGUGGUGAGUGAAAUGGAGAAGGCUAAACUUUUUCUUCCCACAUGCUCACUUCCUCGCUUGUUCGCUAGCUGCUGCAUCUGGCCCCUCAAGGGUAAAGUCAAGGGGAAAAGGAGAUUGAGAGGAAGGACAGUCUGUGAAUUGGGUCUCACCGUGUUUCCCAGAGUGAAGUACAGUGUUGUGAUAUCAGUUCAUUGCAACUUCUGUCUUCCGAGCUCAAGCAAUCCUCUUGCCUCAGCCUCUCGAGUAGUUGGGACUGACUACAGGCAUGAACCACCACACCUGGCUAAUUUUUUUGUAUUUUGGUCGAAAAGACGGUUUCGCCAUGGUGUACAGAACUACUUCUCAAAUCACUAUUCACAUCCUGGUAGAAGUCAAGCAAUGAAGAUGGCACAGAAACACAUCCCAAAUACUAUGAUACCAUAAAGUAUACUGUAGCAAUGCAUCUGGCACACCCUCAUUUGAACAUCUGUCUCAGAAGAUUUUGACAGAAGAUAAAACUGUCUAGUUUUUAUUUCAUUGGUUUCAUGAAAAUUUAUUUCACUGGUUUCAUGUCACAGGCCCAUGACUGUAUAAAGAGUCAUAAUCUUUACAAACACAACAGUGACUCACAGCGACAUGUUGCAAAGCUGUAAUCGAAAACACUGCUGUUGAUUUCAGAGGCCAUUAAUGGUGUUAAGAAGGCGCUUUUGUUAACCAAAUAAUUGAAUACUCAUAAUUACUUUUCAGUUCUAGUUCAGUUCUUGACACCAAGCCAUUUUCUUUACAUAGUGAAUGCAGAACUUGCCAGUAAGAACUUUCAAUACUAAACUUCUAUGUAAAACAAAACAUGUCAAAAUCAGUAACUACUUUAAUGGAACGGUAAAGAAUUUACUUAAACACAAAGGAAUGAAAAUAUCUCUGCAAAUAUGUCUAUUGACUUUUCAAAUUUGGUGACUUCUUUCGAAUUAAUUCCCUUACGUCUGUUCCUCAUCCACAUAAAAAUGACAAAAAUGAAAGAUAAUUUUCCAGCCUAUAAUUAAAUUUCUCCAUUGUUGGU